Molecule: ribosomal RNA, 602 nt
Filed under: Lactococcus lactis
Lineage: Bacteria; Bacillati; Bacillota; Bacilli; Lactobacillales; Streptococcaceae
Description: bacterial SSU rRNA
Rfam family: Bacterial small subunit ribosomal RNA
Source: RNAcentral
UACUUGUACCGACUGGAUGAGCAGCGAACGGGUGAGUAACGCGUGGGGAAUCUGCCUUUGAGCGGGGGACAACAUUUGGAAACGAAUGCUAAUACCGCAUAAAAACUUUAAACACAAGUUUUAAGUUUGAAAGAUGCAAUUGCAUCACUCAAAGAUGAUCCCGCGUUGUAUUAGCUAGUUGGUGAGGUAAAGGCUCACCAAGGCGAUGAUACAUAGCCGACCUGAGAGGGUGAUCGGCCACAUUGGGACUGAGACACGGCCCAAACUCCUACGGGAGGCAGCAGUAGGGAAUCUUCGGCAAUGGACGAAAGUCUGACCGAGCAACGCCGCGUGAGUGAAGAAGGUUUUCGGAUCGUAAAACUCUGUUGGUAGAGAAGAACGUUGGUGAGAGUGGAAAGCUCAUCAAGUGACGGUAACUACCCAGAAAGGGACGGCUAACUACGUGCCAGCAGCCGCGGUAAUACGUAGGUCCCGAGCGUUGUCCGGAUUUAUUGGGCGUAAAGCGAGCGCAGGUGGUUUAUUAAGUCUGGUGUAAAAGGCAGUGGCUCAACCAUUGUAUGCAUUGGAAACUGGUAGACUUGAGUGCAGGAGAGGAGAGUGGA